RNAcentral lists this ribosomal RNA (429 nucleotides) under uncultured bacterium. RNAcentral's name for it is "bacterial SSU rRNA". It matches the Rfam family "Bacterial small subunit ribosomal RNA", at positions 355 to 776 of the family's 1533-position model. The record is from RNAcentral.
UAGGGAAUUUUCGUCAAUGGGGGGAACCCUGAACGAGCAAUGCCGCGUGAGUGAAGACGGUCUUCGGAUUGUAAAGCUCUGUUGCGAGAGAAAAAGGACAGGCAGAGGGAAUGCUGUUUGUUUGAUGGUAUCUCGCCAGAAAGUCACGGCUAACUACGUGCCAGCAGCCGCGGUAAUACGUAGGUGGCGAGCGUUAUCCGGAAUGAUUGGGCGUAAAGGGUACGUAGGCGGCCAGAUAAGUCUGGUGUGAAAGGCUGCAGCUCAACUGCAGCACUGCACUGGAAACUGUCCGGCUGGAGUGCAGAAGAGGGCGAUGGAACUCCAUGUGUAGCGGUAAAAUGCGUAGAUAUAUGGAAGAACACCGGUGGCGAAGGCGGUCGCCUGGUCUGCAACUGACGCUGAAGUACGAAAGCGUGGGGAGCAAAUAGG